UAGGACACAGCCCUUUGAUUUCCGUGGCUCGCGGUCUAUUGUGUGAGAGGGAACGACACACACAACAAACCGACUGUGCUAACGGCUGUGUGAGCGUCACGGUGUCAGGAUGGCCAGUGCUGUGGAGACGUCUGAGAGGGCAGCGCCAGGGAGGAGGUGGGUGUGAGCUGAGCCUUGGAGGAUGAGUAUAGAGAGAAAGGUGCUCCAGCCUGAGGAAAGCAGGAGAAAAGGGAGGGGACAGGAGCCUGUCAGGUUUGUCCACCAGUGGGGAGUGGUCUGCUGAGGCUGGAGCAGGCCAGCACAAAGGGAUGUGUAGCAGGUGAGGGCAGGCACAGGCCAGAGGCUGAGGACAAAGCCCUCUGAUGUCCAUGCCAUUCCCACCUGGUCUUUCUGAUGGAGACAAGGGCAGGGAAGAGAAAAGCAGAGUCAGGUGGUAUCCCGCCUUUUAUCUGCCUGAAAACUCUCCCCACACCUGUAUCCUGGGUCACAAUUGGAGGUUGCCAGUUCUUUCUGUAGCAACACACCCAAUAAACACCAAGUUCUUAUAAUGAAAUCUUAAAUUAAGCUGCAGCCUUAAUCCAGCCACAUGAAGUCAUGACCUAGGAGAGAUGCUUCCUUUUAACUUCUGCUUUCCUGACCUCAAGUUUUAUUUUGUCUUUAUGUGCCAGAUUCAAAGAAAAUCUAGACGUUUCUAAAGCCCAGAGAGAGGGAUAUGACGAAGGUCACCAAGAGACAAAGGGAUGACUGUAAACACUGAGGACUGUACAUUUGUGAGGGCAGAAGGCACAUCUGCCUCUUCUGUGUUCCCAGCACCCAGCACAUAGUAGGUGCUCAAUAAUAAUUUCCUGAAUGACUGAAUGAAUAAGCCAUCACACUCGGGCAGUUAUUUACCUUUGUGCCAAACUUCAGCAAGAGAAUCCCUACCUUAAAAUGUUUACACGGAUUAGAUUUAUGGUUAAUGACUGACCCAGGUUAAUCAACUACCCUUGUUUCAUAAGGGAGUUUCAUAAACUCCCUUAACAAUGAUCUUGAUUUAGGUUGGAGAGGAGAAAAACAGCACAGGCUCUGGGCAGAAGGGCGUCAUGACAGAUGUUGGGGGUCUUGUCUGGGAGGCAGGGAGACAGACCCAGCAUGUGCCCAUGGUUGAAGGUGUAGUCUCUGAUCUGCAGCAUUGCUAGGAAUCUCAUCAGACCUUUCCUCUGUGAGUCUCAUCUGGACUGCACAGAAUCGCCAUUUUUCAAAAGGAAACUGAAUCUCAAAGCCCAAGUGACUUGGUCAACAUCACACAUCUGGUUAGUGCAAAACCUGUUAUGCAAUGCUGGGUUUUGAGUCAUGUGUGGACUACCUGUUGAGGGACUGCCAUUGGCAGAACUCACUGUAUGAGAUGCUGGAAGGAACGUGACAGAGUGUGCUCUCAACUGUGGCAGAGGAGACAGGUGUGCAGCACAGGAACAAAGACGAUGGCCAAGGGCCGUGGGAGGAAGAAGGGAGAGGUAACUCGGCAGGGCUCAAGAGGGAGAGGAGAAGAGAUGAACCGUGCUCUGAAGAGGAGAAGCAGCACCUCCACUGGAGCCCUCCUGGGGAAAAGAGAGAAGAGCCUAGGUGAUUAGAAUGGACCGCAUCUCCUCUCCAUCAGAGUUUAGAUGGGGGAUCGACUUCAUCUUUUUCAUCCUGUGGGCCUCAAGAUGACAAAGCAUCUGCCAUAUGGCACACUGCUGGUCAAAUGGCAAAAGAAGAAGAGAAGAUGACAGAGCCUCUGUGGAUUCUUGCAGCUUCCACUCAGAAAUGACCUCUUCCUUCCACUCCACUUCAUUGCCCAAUGUGAGGUACAGGCCAGCGCUGACACCAAGGGUUGGGGUUGCCCACCUACCCCACAUCUGGAAGGAGGGGGAGGGCUGAGGAAUUCCUGAAGAGCCUGGUGACAAUGUCAUUAUCCUACAGCCAACCCAGGAGCUACUAGAGGUUUCUAGAGCUUCCAUUCUCUGGCCAGCUGUGCCUCACUGGCUGCUUCCAGGUUAAUCAACCCAGGAGGCACUGGUUAGCUGGCCUGUGUGACUCUGGACUGGAGUAUCCAGCUAGAUUUCCACCGGCCCUCCAAGAGCUUCCUUUGCUCUCAGGUUCUGGGUUCAGGUUGAGCACGAGAGAAUCUGGAAGAGAUGGAAAGAAGAGGCAAGGCCGCGCUGAGGUGGUGGAGCCCUCGCUUGCUGUCAGUGCAGCCCCUCGGGCUCCUGCCAGGCCACCUGCAGCUGCUCUGAGGCCCGAGCGAAGGGAGCUCCAAUGCAGAGAGUGCCAGCUCCUCCUGGGGUCACGAUGUCACUGAGUCCGAGGCAGUGAAGGCCAGACACGGGUUCCAGCAUGUUCUCCUGGGUGCUGGUCUGUCCUCAUCUGCCCCUUUAUGCCACCCAAGAGCAGCUUCAGACGCAACACCAAGUGCAGAGGCCGAGCGUGGCACAGGCUUCUCCAACAGCUCCCACAAAUGAAAGCGCUGUUCUCCACAACAAAGCCUUACAUCACUCACACUGGUCCUGCCUCUUUGGCCAGAUCCUGUCUGAUUUGCCACUCAAGAACAUAUGUAUGCUCCCCAUCAUCAGAGCAGGAAGACCACAUUCUUCAGCUGAUUCUUCAAAACUCAAAAACCAGGCUCUCCACCCUUUCAGCCCGAUAUUCCUUCACCUCUCACACAGUCGACCCCUCACUAGUGUCUAUAAGGUGUCGCAUUUUGGUUUGUUGCUCAUGCUGUUCUCUGGGGAGACCUGGGACUCUUUUCAAGGCAGCUUAGACACCAUCUCUCUGAAACAGCAUUUCCUGGCCCUUGAAAGGCGUUCUCUCCUUUGCGUCCCACAGCACUUUGUUGGAACCUUUCCCUUGGUAUCUAUCCCUGUCUCCUUUGCAUCCAUGAUAUUUCACAACAAUGUGAGUACUACGAGGGCAGGACUCUGUUGGGUCCUGUCUCCUCAGCUCACACAGAGCUUUCCCGAUAGAGGGUUACUGAACUGAACUGUCACUCAGAAGCCGUCACUUGUCACACCUGGGGACUGGAUCCUGUGCUGCUCCAGGCAGUCAGGGGCUUAGUCUAAACAUGUGGAUGGACACGAGUGGGGAGCAGCUGUAUCUCAUGGCCACGGCCCUGCCUUCCAGGAAGUCACCGAAACAAGUCAGGAGAUAGCAAAGAACCACCAUUUGUGGAGCCAGGAGACCAGGGUUCCAGACCUGGUUCAGCUGCUCUCCCUGUCAAGGUCUUCCUGCUGGCCCUUCCCCUCCAGGAACCACAAAGGCACCUCACACUUAAACUACCCACAGCUGGACUCAUCCCUCUGUCCCCAAAGGUCUGUCACCCUCUCAGGGAACAGCACCAGCACUCCCUCAUCACCCAGCCAGACACCGGGCAGUCAUCAGAGGUGUAUAUAUCUCACACUCACCACCCCACACAUCCAAUCCAUCACCACAGCCCAGAGCCUCCACCUCACAGCAGCUCCUGGUCAGUCCUCUCCUUCCUCUCAUGCCCCUAUCACCACCUCUCUCUCUCAGAUAGUGCAACAGCUAUGCCAGACUCCAACAUCCAUCCUCUGAAAUAACUAAAAGAAAAAAAGAGAAAAAAACCUGUCUGAGAAAAGAAACCAAAAAACCACACCAAUCCAAUAUUACUACUCAUCUGCUUAAAUCCCUCAAAUGUCACCAUUGAUCAUCUCUCCUAGGAUAAAAGCCAGAUCCCAUCUACCUGCCCAACCUCAUCACUGGCUGCUUAUCUCCACCCCACUCCACCCACACACACAUUCCAGACACAGUUCCCUCGUGAAUAUCAGUCUUUCCUAUGCUUCUGUCUCCCCCUUGCUGUUGUCUCUCAUGUCCAAACACCUCUGAACCUUUAGGUAACAUAUACUAGACACUCAUCACACGCCAGGCUAGGCACUAUGCUAGAGUUCUGAGAGCUUUCCCGGCUGGGGAUCAGAUGGGGUGAUGGAAAUCACAGGUGAGGAAUGCAAUAUGGACACUGGGGACCACAGAGACCAGUCCCCCAGCAUCGUAGCAUUAUGACCACGCAUUCAAUCCUCACUCAAUGCCUCCACCCCAGCCCCCUUCCAGAAAGCCCCUUCUGAUCCUUCCUUCCUGGGCGGGGUCUUUCUCAGCUCUGUCUCCCUCUUCAGGGCCUUCUGUGCUCUGCUGACUGUGUCCUGAAUCCCAGCUAUUUAAAUUAUGGGUAUGAAUCAAGAGAUUUUAAAUUUCAUACCUUUUGACCUGACACCUUUACUUCUAGGAGUUACUUUGAGAAAAUUACUAGAGGUGCAAAGAUUUAUGUAAAGCAUAUACAUGGAUGUUAAUCACAGAGUUAUUUGUGGUAACAAAAAUUGGUAAGUCUUAAAGGGCAACCAUAGCGGAAUGUUGAAAUAAAUCCUGAUGGAGCCCAAUGGUAGACUGUGAAAGAGACAUAGAAAUCUUACUUUCUGAAGCCUAUUUGAUAAUUUGAAAUGGUCACACUGUAAUUAAUAGAAAAAACUAGUACAUGUAACUUUGUACUCAGUAUAAUCCUAAUUUUAAGGUAUUUUUCUUAGGAUAUAUGAAUAAGUAUAUAUAUAGAAAAUCCUAGAAAACUGGGACAAAAUAUUAGCUGACAAUUAUUUCCUCUGGGAGAUGGCAUUACAGAUAAAUACUGUUUUCUUAAUUAUUCUUUCCAACAUUGUUCAAUACUUCUAAAAUGAACAUGACUUUGAACUUAAAAGACAGUAUUAUUUUUGAGAAAUGGAAGAUCACAUAGCUCCAAAUAGAGCACAGAGGAGGUGGGCCCAUGCCCAAGGGCAGGAAGUGAGGAAGCACCCAUGGAGCCUGACCCAGAUGGACCGUCAGCAGAGAGGGUGGAGAUGAGACCUCUUGGGGACAUUGGGCUGAUGGCAGAGAUGACUGAGGAAGGAGGAGACUCUGGUUUGAUGCUUGAGCUUCUGGGUUGUUUGGGUGGAUAUCGCACCACCGUGAGAGACACUCUCAGAGAUGGGCAAGAUGAGACAAGCAGGUUAGAGGAGGUGGGAGGACUGGAGAGAGCUUGUUGCGGCAUCCACAGGGUGGCAAGACAGCCCCAGUCCUGAGCACCUGGAGAAUAAGUGGUGACAAUCUUCCAAUAUUUUAUUUUGACCUGUGCUCUUGAAAAAUAUUCCAAGAGACAAAUCAUAGUAUAACGGGAAAAUCUGCAACUGCUGCUGUGUUGUUUAAGGCUAUUCUUUAGUCCCUGAGCUGUGUCAAGUUGUCAUUGUUUCUUGUGAAGGAAAGAGAAUGGCGUGGGAAGGGAAACAGAAAAGCGGACCUGCAGAAACUCACACAACCAGCUAAACCCCUGACUCCACAUCUGUCACAAGUGUCCAGGCCUCACCCCGUAUAGCAAUUCACUUUCCUUAACCUUCCCUGGGGGCUCAGUGGUAAAGAACCCACCUGCAAAUAAAGGAGACACAGAUUCAAUCCCUGGAUUGGGAAGAUCCCCUGGAGAAGGAAGUGGCAACUCAAUCCAGUAUUUCUGUGGAGGAAAUCCCAUGGACAGAGUAGCCUGGUGGGCUAGUCCAUGGGUCCUAUAAGACUCAGACACAACGUAGCAACUAAACUAUAACAACAACCUUUCAUGAGUACAGGUUCCCACAGCACUCUUGCGAGGACACACUCCAUUUCAUAGUCCAGGACCCCCACCUGAAGGACACAGGGUCACAGCCCCUGAAUCUCAGGUCCAAGGAGCAGGGCUGCAGUGAGACCCGGUCUUCAGAUUCCCAUCCAGGGUCUCUCCUGUGCCCACCUCACCCAGCCAGGCCCUUCUGGGGCAUCACAGGAAACCUUGGGUCUCUGAAGCCACAUUGUGCCAAGUCUGCAAACCUGUGUCAUUGUAGAGUCUGAACUUUAAAUUGGGCAGGGACUGCGAGGUCCCUGAGGGCAGGGAGCAGGAGAGAUGUCUACGUGGCAGGGGACCAGGAGACUGGGCCUCGGGGGUUCGGGGCCGCUAUCCUGGCCCACCCCAGCACAGUGUGUCUGCUGGUAAUGAACUCAGCACUCCCUCACUCUGCUCUCCCAUGCCUUGGGUCACCACACCUGUCAUCUGCUCAGCCACCUGCUGAUACCAAGGUCACUGGGCCAACAGGUAGGAGUCAAGGAGAAUCCAUCUAGCAUGUUGACUAUUCUCAUAAAAUCUUUUCUAAACAUAGAGAAACCAGAAUAUCUGCUUGGAGAAGGCAACAUAAUGAUACUAUAAUAUCUACUGCUGCUGCUGCUGCUGCUAAGUCACUUCAGUUGUGUCCGACUCUGUGUGACCCCAGAGAUGGCAGCCCAACAGGCUCCCGCGUCUCUGGGAUUACUGAACACUCACCCUGUGCCAAGUUCUUUGCUAAGACCUUUCACUGGAUCCUCAAAAUCAUACCAUGAGAAAAUGCUACUCUUAUUUCUACAGCUGUGAGAACUGGUGAUGCCCCAGAGGGUGGAGCCAGGGUCUCUGAGGAUGACAACCUGGAACAGAGCCCCCUGAAAACCUGCAAUGCUACAAAGGCUGAGAACUAAACCUCCAUCCUGGUAAGUCACUAAAAUCAUGAGGUUGUGUGUUACUCUAGGAAAACUCUGCUCAUCUUUUUUUUUCUCCACUGUAAAAUCUAUUUUUAUUUUCAGACCUUAAACUUCUGUAUUGGGGUGUAGCCGAUAAACAAUACUGUGGCAGUUUCAGGUGAACAGGGAAGUGACUCGGCCAUAGAUACACAUGUAGCCAUUCACCCCCAACCCCUUCCUGUCAUCCAGGCUGUCGCAUAACAUCGAACAGAAUUCCAUGUACUGUGCAAUAUGUCCUUGUUGGUCAUCCGUUUUGAAUAUAGGCAAAACUCAGUUUAUCUCAACUGAUGGACUAAAUGAACUAGAGCUGCUCUCUGUGGUCCCAGACUGAGCCCAUGUUGCCCAAGCUGUCAGUAACCUGGAAGCAUGGUAUUUCCUAAACACAGUAUCUCAUUUCUUUGGGGUCAUAAGCCCAUUGCCUCAUGGGCUGUUCCUAAUUUCUGAAUGAAUGUGUUCUGAUAAGACUUACAUUGCAAGGAAACCCACUGCUCUCCUCAUUCAGCACUUCAGAGAGAAGUUCUAGCAUGCAGCAGAUGGCACCCCCAUGGUUGUGACCCUGUGACCUCCACAUGGACAUCCUGGGCUCUGAAAUGGGGUGUAUCCUGGCAAUCGUGCUGUGGGAACCUGCACUAAUGAAAGGUUGUUUUAGUCCUCCCAGCAAUCACAUCCUGCGUGUGCAUGUGGGGAAAAGGAAAGGAGGGUGAUCUGAAGGUAAGAAAUCUGGGAUCAGGAUUUUAUCAGAAGGAAAGCUCAGGGUCUCAAACGGCAGCUCCUGUGUCAGGCACUGGAUAGGUUGGGGGUAAAUAGGACACAGCCCUUUGAUUUCCGUGGCUCGCGGUCUAUUGUGUGAGAGGGAACGACACACACAACAAACCAAAUGUGCUAAUGGCUGUGUGAGCAUCACGGUGUCAGGAUGGCCAGUGCUGUGGAGACGUCUGAGAGGGCAGCGCCAGGGAGGAGGUGGGUGUGAGUUGAGCCUUGGAGGAUGAGUAUAGAGACAAAGGUGCUCCAGCCCGAGGAAAGCAGGAGAAAAGGGAGGGGACAGGAGCCUGUGCGGUUUGUCCACCAGCGGGGAGUGGUCUGCUGAGGCUGGAGCAGGCCAGCACAAAGGGAUGUGUAGCAGGUGAGGGCAGGCACAGGCCAGAGGCUGACAAAGCCCUCUGAUGUCCAUGCCAUUCCCACCUGGUCUCUCUGAUGGAGACAAGGGCGGGGAAGAGAAAAGCAGAGUCAGGUGGUAUCCCACCUUUUAUCUGCCUGAAAACUCUCCCCACACCUGUAUCCAGGGUCAAAUUGGAGGUUGCCAGUUCUUUCUGUCAGAGAAGACAAUGGCAACUCACUCCAGUACUCUUGCCUGGAAAAUCCCAUGGACUGGGGAGCCUGGUGAGCUGCAGUCCAUGGGGUCAGGGAGU
Long non-coding RNA from Bubalus bubalis (water buffalo), 7973 nucleotides. RefSeq lists it as uncharacterized. Lineage: Eukaryota; Metazoa; Chordata; Mammalia; Artiodactyla; Bovidae. The record is from RefSeq and is a predicted model, not a curated record. The transcript has 4 exons.